UUAAGUUAUUAAGGGCGCACGGUGGAUGCCUUGGCACUAGAAGCCGAUGAAGGACGUUACUAACGACGAUAUGCUUUGGGGAGCUGUAAGUAAGCUUUGAUCCAGAGAUUUCCGAAUGGGGAAACCCAGCAUGAGUUAUGUCAUGUUAUCGAUAUGUGAAUACAUAGCAUAUCAGAAGGCACACCCGGAGAACUGAAACAUCUUAGUACCCGGAGGAAGAGAAAGAAAAUUCGAUUCCCUUAGUAGCGGCGAGCGAAACGGGAAGAGCCCAAACCAACAAGCUUGCUUGUUGGGGUUGUAGGACACUCUAUACGGAGUUACAAAGGACGACAUUAGACGAAUCAUCUGGAAAGAUGAAUCAAAGAAGGUAAUAAUCCUGUAGUCGAAAAUGUUGUCUCUCUUGAGUGGAUCCUGAGUACGACGGAGCACGUGAAAUUCCGUCGGAAUUUGGGAGGACCAUCUCCUAAGGCUAAAUACUCUCUAGUGACCGAUAGCGAACCAGUACCGUGAGGGAAAGGUGAAAAGCACCCCGGAAGGGGAGUGAAAUAGAACCUGAAACCGUGUGCUUACAAGUAGUCAGAGCCCGUUAAUGGGUGAUGGCGUGCCUUUUGUAGAAUGAACCGGCGAGUUACGAUUUGAUGCAAGGUUAAGCAGUAAAUGUGGAGCCGUAGCGAAAGCGAGUCUGAAUAGGGCGUUUAGUAUUUGGUCGUAGACCCGAAACCAGGUGAUCUACCCUUGGUCAGGUUGAAGUUCAGGUAACACUGAAUGGAGGACCGAACCGACUUACGUUGAAAAGUGAGCGGAUGAACUGAGGGUAGCGGAGAAAUUCCAAUCGAACCUGGAGAUAGCUGGUUCUCUCCGAAAUAGCUUUAGGGCUAGCCUCAAGUGAUGAUUAUUGGAGGUAGAGCACUGUUUGGACGAGGGGCCCCUCUCGGGUUACCGAAUUCAGACAAACUCCGAAUGCCAAUUAAUUUAACUUGGGAGUCAGAACAUGGGUGAUAAGGUCCGUGUUCGAAAGGGAAACAGCCCAGACCACCAGCUAAGGUCCCAAAAUAUAUGUUAAGUGGAAAAGGAUGUGGCGUUGCCCAGACAACUAGGAUGUUGGCUUAGAAGCAGCCAUCAUUUAAAGAGUGCGUAAUAGCUCACUAGUCGAGUGACACUGCGCCGAAAAUGUACCGGGGCUAAACAUAUUACCGAAGCUGUGGAUUGUCCUUUGGACAAUGGUAGGAGAGCGUUCUAAGGGCGUUGAAGCAUGAUCGUAAGGACAUGUGGAGCGCUUAGAAGUGAGAAUGCCGGUGUGAGUAGCGAAAGACGGGUGAGAAUCCCGUCCACCGAUUGACUAAGGUUUCCAGAGGAAGGCUCGUCCGCUCUGGGUUAGUCGGGUCCUAAGCUGAGGCCGACAGGCGUAGGCGAUGGAUAACAGGUUGAUAUUCCUGUACCACCUAUAAUCGUUUUAAUCGAUGGGGGGACGCAGUAGGAUAGGCGAAGCGUGCGAUUGGAUUGCACGUCUAAGCAGUAAGGCUGAGUAUUAGGCAAAUCCGGUACUCAUUAAGGCUGAGCUGUGAUGGGGAGAAGACAUUGUGUCUUCGAGUCGUUGAUUUCACACUGCCGAGAAAAGCCUCUAGAUAGAAAAUAGGUGCCCGUACCGCAAACCGACACAGGUAGUCAAGAUGAGAAUUCUAAGGUGAGCGAGCGAACUCUCGUUAAGGAACUCGGCAAAAUGACCCCGUAACUUCGGGAGAAGGGGUGCUCUUUAGGGUUAACGCCCAGAAGAGCCGCAGUGAAUAGGCCCAAGCGACUGUUUAUCAAAAACACAGGUCUCUGCUAAACCGUAAGGUGAUGUAUAGGGGCUGACGCCUGCCCGGUGCUGGAAGGUUAAGAGGAGUGGUUAGCUUCUGCGAAGCUACGAAUCGAAGCCCCAGUAAACGGCGGCCGUAACUAUAACGGUCCUAAGGUAGCGAAAUUCCUUGUCGGGUAAGUUCCGACCCGCACGAAAGGCGUAACGAUUUGGGCACUGUCUCAACGAGAGACUCGGUGAAAUCAUAGUACCUGUGAAGAUGCAGGUUACCCGCGACAGGACGGAAAGACCCCGUGGAGCUUUACUGUAGCCUGAUAUUGAAAUUCGGCACAGCUUGUACAGGAUAGGUAGGAGCCUUUGAAACGUGAGCGCUAGCUUACGUGGAGGCGCUGGUGGGAUACUACCCUAGCUGUGUUGGCUUUCUAACCCGCACCACUUAUCGUGGUGGGAGACAGUGUCAGGCGGGCAGUUUGACUGGGGCGGUCGCCUCCUAAAAGGUAACGGAGGCGCUCAAAGGUUCCCUCAGAAUGGUUGGAAAUCAUUCAUAGAGUGUAAAGGCAUAAGGGAGCUUGACUGCGAGACCUACAAGUCGAGCAGGGUCGAAAGACGGACUUAGUGAUCCGGUGGUUCCGCAUGGAAGGGCCAUCGCUCAACGGAUAAAAGCUACCCCGGGGAUAACAGGCUUAUCUCCCCCAAGAGUUCACAUCGACGGGGAGGUUUGGCACCUCGAUGUCGGCUCAUCGCAUCCUGGGGCUGUAGUCGGUCCCAAGGGUUGGGCUGUUCGCCCAUUAAAGCGGUACGCGAGCUGGGUUCAGAACGUCGUGAGACAGUUCGGUCCCUAUCCGUCGUGGGCGUAGGAAAUUUGAGAGGAGCUGUCCUUAGUACGAGAGGACCGGGAUGGACAUACCUCUGGUGUACCAGUUGUCGUGCCAACGGCAUAGCUGGGUAGCUAUGUGUGGACGGGAUAAGUGCUGAAAGCAUCUAAGCAUGAAGCCCCCCUCAAGAUGAGAUUUCCCAACUUCGGUUAUAAGAUCCCUCAAAGAUGAUGAGGUUAAUAGGUUCGAGGUGGAAGCAUGGUGACAUGUGGAGCUGACGAAUACUAAUCGAUCGAAGACUUAAUCAA
Molecule: ribosomal RNA, 2921 nt
Filed under: Staphylococcus aureus
Lineage: Bacteria; Bacillati; Bacillota; Bacilli; Caryophanales; Staphylococcaceae
Also listed under: 4 other names
Description: bacterial LSU rRNA
Rfam family: Bacterial large subunit ribosomal RNA
Source: RNAcentral